UACGUAGGGUGCGAGCGUUGUCCGGAAUUACUGGGCGUAAAGAGUUCGUAGGCGGUUUGUCGCGUCGUUCGUGAAAACUUGGGGCUUAACUCCAAGCGUGCGGGCGAUACGGGCAGACUUGAGUACUACAGGGGAGACUGGAAUUCCUGGUGUAGCGGUGGAAUGCGCAGAUAUCAGGAGGAACACCGGUGGCGAAGGCGGUUCUCUGGGCCUUACCUGACGCUGAGGAGCGAAAGCGUGGGGAGCGAACAGG
Molecule: ribosomal RNA, 253 nt
Filed under: uncultured bacterium
Lineage: Bacteria
Description: partial 16S ribosomal RNA
Rfam family: Bacterial small subunit ribosomal RNA
Source: RNAcentral